AGACCAGGAGUCCUUGCCUGAGGAGAGCUGAUGGAGGAGCCGUGCACCUGGAGAACCAUGAGUCUGCCUGCCAACAAGUAGUACUGGAAGGCGGGGCAUAGGGAGGUGAUGGAGGACCUGCCUGGUGAAGGACAUCAGGGUGGGGCGAGUGACACCCGACUCCAAGGGGAUAUCCACUGAGGAGAGAGCUGAAGGAGCCAUGCAUCUGGAAGGUGCAGUUGAAAUGCUGUGUCCAGUCUGGGACACACACCUGAGCUGCGUCAAGCCUGUAUCUCUGACCAGCUGGAGUCCCUUAGUGAUCAACAACCGCCACUCAUCGCUGGCCUGUGGAUUCAUCUCCUUCACUCACACAACGUGACCUUGGCCUGUGGAUUCAUCUACUCCACACUCACACAACAGGACUUUGGCCUGUGGAUUCAUCUACUCCACACUCACACAACAGGACUUUGGCCUGUGGAUUCAUCUCCUCCACACUCACGCAACGUGACCUUCUCACCAUCUGUUGCACGUUUGGAUGCACCUAGCGUGUUCCAUCGAGGGUUCCUUCCUCCCCACGGUGGGAGGGUUCCUUGUCCUUCAAGGCGUCGGGGUUCAGUGUUAGGGACAGAGUUAGGGACAGAUGGCUGCGCUGGAUUCACGAUAUACGCUUUGUGAUCAAAAUGGGUUCGGACAUUGGACAAAUCGCUUCCCAAAAUGUUUCAAUGU
Molecule: long non-coding RNA, 705 nt
Organism: Gadus macrocephalus (Pacific cod)
Lineage: Eukaryota; Metazoa; Chordata; Actinopteri; Gadiformes; Gadidae
Exons: 4
Source: RefSeq, a predicted model, not a curated record